Molecule: long non-coding RNA, 1449 nt
Organism: Oryzias melastigma (Indian medaka)
Lineage: Eukaryota; Metazoa; Chordata; Actinopteri; Beloniformes; Adrianichthyidae
Exons: 5
Source: RefSeq, a predicted model, not a curated record
UUGCUCUGUUUUGUUUAAAGUUCUAUGACAAAAAGGGGAAAUUGUAAACUUUGGAUUUUGUGUUAUAAGUUGAUGAACUUUUAUUUUGAAAAGAUUCGUCUUUUCCUGCUGACGUAGUCCAUGUGACUGGCAACAGCCAAUCGGGUUUGUUGUUGAGCUGAGAGCUCUAAUGCUAGAGCUUAACAUGCAUUGUAAGAUUCGCAGCUCAAGAGAGAAGACGAGGAACCCAAUUGAUGAAAGUUUGAAACCUUUUUACGAUUUAUUUUAUUUUUGCCUUGUGGUGAAGUUAUUUUUUUGUUUUUGCACCUGUGUGGCCUGGAAAACAUUUUUUUCAAACGGGACUUUGCCAUUAAGAUUGGGCCGAAAAAACGGACUCCUCAAUCCAGGAUCCAUGUGCGUGAAGAAAACAAGAUGGCGAGCCAACCCUGAGCCUCUUGAAGUAGCAAAGGACCAAGCGCCCUCUGCUGGACAUCGGACAACCCUUUUCAUCCUUUGGAACUGCCCUCUCCUAUCAGCAGCGGAGCAGCUGGUGAACCACACAGCGGCGUGGAGCGCCAUCUCUCACUGGAUGGGAGUUUGGUCGCAGGAUGCCAGCAGCUGCUGCUCCAGGAUAUUGGCUUUUAAAGCCCUCUGAGAAUUCAGCCUACCUACUGCACACACUCAGACAUCAACACACAUUGCUUUGUUGUGUAAGGUAGGCAAAGCGUAAAGAUAUCUUCCAUCAGCUCCUGGCUGUUGCAUCUUCGGCGCAACCAAAGUGUGUGUGACGGGGAAUCUGUUUUGAAGUUAUGCUUCCAUUCUGAAGACCUGCUCUGACCAGCCAUUUACGUCGUGGAGGUAGCUCCUCAGAGCGUGAACACAGCCAGCAAAGGGAUGCAUUAAGAUGUUCCACAUUCAUGAUCCAUGAACUUCCCCAAAGGCAAAGUGUGUGAUAAAAGAACGGCGGGAGCAGGUAAGGAAAGAGCUUGUGCAAAGCCCUGGCAGCUUUUAAUGACCGCUGUGUGCAAGUUCAUUUGGGACUCUGAGUCAAAUUCUAGAAAUGCUUGAUGUGACUAUUUUUAAUGCAUGAAAAAUGAUGAGAUCCAUAUUACAUCAAGGGUUCUUUGGGCUAGUGCUGUUUGCUUGUCAUAUUAGACAAAGACUUUCAAAAGAGCUCCAUAGCUUAAUGUUCUCAUAAAGCCCAUUUGAUGUUGAAGAAGCACUGUCAGAAUUCAACAGCGUGCAAGCAACCACUUUUUACUUAAAGUCUACAAAAAGCAAAGAUCAAAGCAUGUCUAAUUUGAAUAAAUGAGUACUUUGUUUUCAUACAGUUCAUUGAUGUACAGAGAGCAAUUUAGAAGUCUUUGCAAAGCUGGCUGUCAUUUCUUUUUGCAACGUCGAUCUGAAAUCAAAAACAAUAAAGAACAGUGCAGUCAAACCGGCAGCUUGUUCAAACACUCAGCAGCAAUA